UGAGGAAUAUUGGGUCAAUGGGCGAGAGCCUGAACCAGCCAAGUAGCGUGCAGGACGACGGCCCUAUGGGUUGUAAACUGCUUUUAUAAGGGAAUAAAGUGGGUCACGUGUGACUUUUUGCAUGUACCUUAUGAAUAAGGACCGGCUAAUUCCGUGCCAGCAGCCGCGGUAAUACGGAAGGUCCGGGCGUUAUCCGGAUUUAUUGGGUUUAAAGGGAGCGUAGGCCGGAGAUUAAGCGUGUUGUGAAAUGUAGUGGCUCAACCUCUGCACUGCAGCGCGAACUGGUCUUCUUGAGUACGCACAACGUGGGCGGAAUUCGUGGUGUAGCGGUGAAAUGCUUAGAUAUGGCGAAGAACUCCGAUUGCGAAGGCGGCUGACGGGGUGCGUAACUGACGCUCAUGCUCGAAAGUGCGGGUAUCGAACAGGAUUAGAUACCCUGGUA
RNAcentral lists this ribosomal RNA (442 nucleotides) under uncultured Prevotella sp. RNAcentral's name for it is "bacterial SSU rRNA". It matches the Rfam family "Bacterial small subunit ribosomal RNA", at positions 355 to 792 of the family's 1533-position model. Lineage: Bacteria; Pseudomonadati; Bacteroidota; Bacteroidia; Bacteroidales; Prevotellaceae. The record is from RNAcentral.